GUCCACAGUCAAGCCCAAUGUCUGAUCUCAGACACUAAGCAGGGGCGGGCCUGGUUAGUACUUGGAUGGGAGACCACCUAGGAAGACCAAGUGCUGUAGGCA
RNAcentral lists this ribosomal RNA (102 nucleotides) under Pteropus alecto (black flying fox). Lineage: Eukaryota; Metazoa; Chordata; Mammalia; Chiroptera; Pteropodidae. The record is from RNAcentral.